This 253-nucleotide ribosomal RNA is filed under the name uncultured bacterium. RNAcentral describes it as "partial 16S ribosomal RNA". It matches the Rfam family "Bacterial small subunit ribosomal RNA", at positions 524 to 776 of the family's 1533-position model. The record is from RNAcentral.
UACGUAGGUGGCAAGCGUUGUCCGGAUUUACUGGGCGUAAAGAGCGCGCAGGCGGUCGUUCAAGUCGCGUGUGAAAGCCCCCGGCUCAACUGGGGAGGGUCACGCGAUACUGAUCGACUCGAAGGCAGGAGAGGGUAGUGGAAUUCCACGUGUAGCGGUGAAAUGCGUAGAGAUGUGGAGGAACACCAGUGGCGAAGGCGACUCUUUGGCCUGUAACUGACGCUGAGGCGCGAAAGCGUGGGGAGCAAACAGG